AAAUAAGUGACCAGAUAACUGGAUAAAUAUGAUAAGUAAUACUUGAACAAAUAUAAGGAUUUAAAGCAAUGAAUAUAACCUCAGAUAGUUGACUAGAUAACUGGAUGAGGGAUCUGCGUAAAGUAGUCAACCUCUGUGUUUGACCAGAUAACUGGAAGAGGGAUCUUUUUAAUUAAGUGUUGUUUUUUUAAGUAAAAGAUAGAACUAUAAUUAACAGAGAACAACACAAGAGAUUUAUACUGGUUCACCCAAACAAGGGCUAGUCCAGUCCCGACCAACUGCCGGAAUUCACUCGCCUAAAGGUAAUGGCAAAACCUUUCUAAGCUUUAAGGCUACUUCGCUUAGGAACCAGUCUUUUACAGGUAGACUCACACCUUAGAGUAUCAAGGGCACUCUUAAGAACCUCUAACUUUUACGGGUAAGUUAGUACCUUAGAGUAUCAAGGAACUCUUAAAAACCUCUCUAAGCUUUAAGGCUACUUCGCUUAGGAACCAGUCUUUUACGGGUAGACUCACACCUUAGAGUAUCAAGGGCACUCUUAAGAACCUCUAACUUUUACGGGUAAGUUAGUACCUUAGAGUAUCAAGGAACUCUUAAAAACCUCUCUAAGCUUGGAGGCAAAAACGUGUGGACAAGUGUGGAGUGAAAGCUCUUGAGUUUGCUUGUAGUGUGGUGAGUGAAAAUGAGGGGAUUACCCUUCUAUUUAUAGCCUUGGCCACUCAAUGUCCACCCUUGGAUCUUCAAUGGAUGGCUCCUUGAUUUUUC
Molecule: long non-coding RNA, 765 nt
Filed under: Zostera marina
Lineage: Eukaryota; Viridiplantae; Streptophyta; Magnoliopsida; Alismatales; Zosteraceae
Description: long non-coding RNA (ZMAR_LNC002517)
Source: RNAcentral